Heterocephalus glaber (naked mole-rat) is the source of this 997-nucleotide long non-coding RNA. The record is from Ensembl. Lineage: Eukaryota; Metazoa; Chordata; Mammalia; Rodentia; Bathyergidae.
CACUGUGCCAAUGAUGUUGCCUUGUGGGAUUUUCUAGCAAUGACAGGAGAAUCUACAUAUCUUUGAGCCCAUGGGUUUCUCUUUGGUCGUGACAGCCAGAGGAAAGAGACUCCUCCCUUAUUUCCAGAGAAUGGUAAAGAAGCAUUGCCAGCCAUGUUGGCACACAGCUGGAGUGGGAGGCUGAGGCAGAAGGAUCCCCUGUGGUCCUAGUCAAAACCUUGUGGAGAACUGUACAGAAAGGCCAUCCCAAGCCUCUGCCUGCAAGACGAGGGCAGUUUUGGUCCACAGCGGGUCUCCUGGCUGGCUGUAUCCCCAUCGCUGUUAUUCACCGUUUGGCAGCAGCAGGGCAGAGAGCCCAGCUCGCCAAGAGCUUGUUGGACUCCUGAGACCUGGUGGGAGGGCAUCACUUACGUCUGGUCAAGGAAACAAGAACAUAAUAAUCAGGAGUCCCAGGAUCUUACAGGAAGCAGGAGGAGCCAAGGAAAGAAGGGGAGAGAAAGGUGAUAAAUCCAGGCAAGGAUUGCUGUGGAGCAAAUGCCUGCCUUGGGCAAUAAAGACUCCGCAUCUCUGUCCCCGUUGUCGCCAGUCAAGAGACGAGACGCAGCUCAAGGCUGGUCCUCAAUUGGACCAUCCAUGGCCAUCUGAUCUAAAGCCAGUCAACUCAUUGGCUGGCCAGUAAUCAAUCAGAGUCUCUCUAACAGGCAAAGCAGUUUCCAAACAUUCUCACUUCAAGUUGGUCUUAGAAUCUUGAUUUUUUGUUUGUUUGUUUUGGUCAUGGUGUUUUUAGAUCAAAAGAAAUACUUAAAUGGACCUAAUUAUUGAGUAGUUAGGUCCAAACAACUUAGUAAGUAUUUAUGGUCUAACAAUUUAGCAGAUAUAUGAAAGGGUAAAAUGAAAGAAAACAUUUUUUAUUUUUUUGGUACCAGGGAUCGAACUCAGGUCCUUGCACUUGCACAGCAGGCGGCGGUGAAACCACUGAGCUAAAUCCCCAGCCCUU